RNAcentral lists this unclassified non-coding RNA (497 nucleotides) under uncultured Glomus. RNAcentral's name for it is "bacterial SSU rRNA". It matches the Rfam family "Eukaryotic small subunit ribosomal RNA", at positions 569 to 1067 of the family's 1831-position model. The record is from RNAcentral. Lineage: Eukaryota; Fungi; Glomeromycota; Glomeromycetes; Glomerales; Glomeraceae.
AGCAGCCGCGGUAAUUCCAGCUCCAAUAGCGUAUAUUAAAGUUGUUGCAGUUAAAAAGCUCGUAGUUGAACUUCAGGCCUGUCCAGACGGUCCGCCUUAAUUGGUGUGUACUGUCCUUGGGUGGGUCCUACCUUCUGGCGAAGCGGCAUGGCCUUAAUUGGUUGUGUCGGGGAACCAGGACUUUUACUGUGAAAAAAUUAGAGUGUUCAAAGCAGGCAAAUAUGCUCGAAUACAUUAGCAUGGAAUAAUGGAAUAGGACGAUGGUUCUAUUUUGUUGGUUCUAGGACCGUUGUAAUGAUUAAUAGGGAUAGUUGGGGGCAUUAGUAUUCAAUUGUCAGAGGUGAAAUUCUUGGAUUUAUUGAAGACUAACUACUGCGAAAGCAUUUGCCAAGGAUGUUUUCAUUAAUCAAGAACGAAAGUUAGGGGAUCGAAGACGAUCAGAUACCGUCGUAGUCUUAACCAUAAACUAUGCCGACUAGGAAUCGGGCGAUGUUGAC